Arvicanthis niloticus (Nile rat) is the source of this 125-nucleotide non-coding RNA. The record is from RefSeq and is a predicted model, not a curated record. Lineage: Eukaryota; Metazoa; Chordata; Mammalia; Rodentia; Muridae.
CACAUGUGUGUGGGCUUGUUGAACGGUAGACAAAGACAUAAAGCACAUUUGAAAAUAAACCCUCUUUUCCCAUCCAGAACUCAACGGUUCAGUAUGAGUUUUGACACAUAUAAAAAAAGAGUAUG